This 465-nucleotide ribosomal RNA is filed under the name uncultured bacterium. RNAcentral describes it as "partial 16S ribosomal RNA". It matches the Rfam family "Bacterial small subunit ribosomal RNA", at positions 339 to 795 of the family's 1533-position model. The record is from RNAcentral.
CUACGGGGGGCACCAGUGGGGAAUAUUGGACAAUGGGGGAAACCCCGAUCCAGCAAUGCCGCGUGUGUGAAGAAGGCCUGCGGGUUGUAAAGCACUUUCGGUUGGGAGGACUGCUUCUAGCACUAAUAUUGUUGGAAGUUGACGUUACCUUCAGAAGAAGCACCGGCUAACUCCGUGCCAGCAGCCGCGGUAAUACGGAGGGUGCAAGCGUUAAUCGGAAUUACUGGGCGUAAAGCGCGCGUAGGCGGCUAGAUCAGUCGGGUGUGAAAGCCCCGGGCUUAACCUGGGAACUGCAUCCGAUACUGUCUAGCUUGAGUACAGGAGAGGAGAGUGGAAUUCCACAUGUAGCGGUGAAAUGCGUAGAUAUGUGGAGGAACACCAAUGGCGAAGGCAGCUCUCUGGCCUGAUACUGACGCUGAGGUGCGAAAGCGUGGAGAGCAAACAGGAUUAGAUACCCUCGUAGUC